CCCCGUGUCUGUCCCCUCAGGGCCCCUCUCCCAGGGCUACACAGCGGGGGAGGAGACCCCAACAGAAAACUGUUAUGCUAUGAUUUAAAUCUGUAAAAGCAAUGGUCCUCCGUUGAAUAUAGUCAAAUUCCAGCUUGAAUACUCAAGCGUGGUUUCAAAAUACUGAAGGAAAACAGAGCUGGCUGGCCCCUCAUGCAGGAUCAUACAACCUUGCUAUAGGUCUUGCCCUGUUUAAAUCUUCACUGUGGUCUCACCUGUGGACGGUGCAUGUCUUGGGACACUGCCUGGGUCACACAGGGCACAUUUCAUCUCCAGCUCAGGCUGGUGGAGCAUUUAGCUCUGUCCUUUCCUUCCAAUGCCAUGAAACGCUGAGCUCAGGCACUCGCUAUCCUUAUUCCAAGUUUUAUUCCAAGUUCUUUACUGUUCCAUUUAUGGUUGUUGUUUUUUUUCCUUUUAAAACCAAUCUGGGGAAAAAAACCCCAAAGCAGCAUUUUUCACCUGUGAAGUGCCAUGUGAUCUCUGGAUGGCAGGCAGCUUUGGUUAUCAAAGCCCUCUUCCAGCAGCACAUAGCUCUCCUUAGUGUGUAACGAAAGUCCAGAAUAACCCAUUAGACUACAGAAGUUGCCAUGGGUUGAAGUAAUAAUUAUUAAUACUGUAUUGUACAACCUUCUUUAUAAGGAAAACCAAUGUUUUUCUAAAUAGACAACAUGGCCUCAGGCUGGCUGUUCGUAAUUUCUUUUAAACCUGACUUUUACUAAACUUUAGUAUUAAAACCAUAGUUUAAAAAUUAACUAAGAGACAUAUCAUAAUUGCUUUUAUCAGUUAGACUGUUCUGUGAUCUGUGUUAGGAAGAUGGCAGCAGUGAAGUGGAAAAUGAUCAAUCCAGGCAUCAAAGCAAUAGUUUGCCUGGGUCUAUCUAGAGCUGUAUUUUUAUGAGUUUGUAAUUACCAUUGGAAAGCUGGGUAGUUCACACAAGCUUUUCUUUCCAUUGCAGUGAUUAACAAAUGAAACCAAACCGGUGGCCCAUACAUAAACUUUGAUUAAAUUACAGUUAUCCUUAAAGCUAAUCAAAGCUCAUGUAACUGGAUUUUUCAGUCUAAUUAAAACCCAACAGCUCACACAGGCUGUGAGACACUUCUGACACAACCGGAAGGUUUUCAAGAAGCUCAGCUCGAGCUAACUCUGAAAUCUUGGAGCUGACAUACAUAAUACUAAUGCUAAUGGCAGUUUCUAAUUUUGCCCUUGACCAAGCUUAGCAUUUGCUUGCUCAUGAAGGAGAGGUACCCUCAGGGAAUGUAAAAUGCACUCCUUUCAGGGAGACAGCUCUUUGUUCAGUGGUCUUUUCAGAUUAAUUGUGCAGUGAGAGAAGAAGGCAAGUCUGCAGUGCAGCACUUCCCCUGCACUCGUCCUGUCAGGACUCCUACAGAAUUCGGCCCACUGACUGGAACAACACAUUGGCAUUUAAUCAGCUGGAACUCAGCUUCUUCUUACCCUGCCUGGAAGCUUUUUGGGUCCAUUUUUAACAUUGGUACUCCAACAUUUGGAGCAAGGAAGCUCCAAGUCUCUCCCCUGGAAUGGUGAUGCCUUGCUGGAGGCUGAUAACCAAGCAGGCUUUGUCACAGCUCAGCUUUCACAUCCACUUGCUUGGGGCAUGACCAGAAGCACCAGUGUUUUAACAGUAUUAAAACUCUGCCUGGACAAGUAAAAUGAUGAAUUGUUUGAUUCACAAGGGCUGGUGUGCCUCUAGGAAAAUAGCAAAGACACAGAAGUCCUGUGAACACCGUUUUUUUGAGCUUCGUUAUUGAGCCUUUUUUCCACUUUAAAGGCUUCCACCUCACCUGGUACCAGUACAAAAACAGCUGUGCUGUGUUAGAGCAGUCAGCAGGACAACCAGCAUGGGAAGCCCGAGAAGUGAACCAGGAGGUAUUUAUAAUGAAAACUUUCUUGCCAGCAGGAAGGGAAGAUUCCACUUUUAGUCCUCAAUUAUGUUACCUUUGCUUAAAUUAAAGUAUCUACAUGGAACCCAAGGCAGAAUGGACAGUCAAUUAAAGAAAGGGCAGGGAGAGAGAACCAGGCUGAAGAGGAGGAAUUCAUUUGCAAGGAACCAGGCAUUCUCCCUUAAAGAAAAGUGCAUUGAAAUAAAAGAAGUUUAACAAAAAGAAGAGUUUGUACAUAGCAAUAUAGCACACCAGCAUAACCAUGUAGUAACAGAAAUCACAGAUUUCUUCACACCAAAGUAGAGCCUGGGAAUUGCAGAAGGGCUCCCUUGACCUCACCUAUGUUAUCCUUAAAUCCCAAUGCUAGCUCUUUCCAUGGCAACCACUGCAUAUAUCCUGUGUGACUCUUAAUAAAGUGGAAAAUUGAAUUCAAUUUUUGCACUAAAGUGGCCUUAUAAUUUGGUACAGAAAACUCAAGCUGUUGCAUUUUGGUUGGUAUUACUGAAUGGAUACUAUUUGGGUCCACUUUUCUUGGGACAUGAGUGGUAGGUUUCCUCUUCCAAUACAUUUAGGAAAGACCCUUUGCCCCUGUGAUGGAAUUCUGUGCCACUUGCAGUUGCACACCACACUCCUGACUACAGAGUACUACCCUGUCUGCAGGCUGAUACAGUAUUUCUGCCAUGCCUCAAGAGGAGCAUCCUGUUUGUUUGUGGAGCUAAAUUCACCACUAACAGACGCUGUUGAAUUCUACUGUUGGCACAUUCUUUCCAAACAUGUUAACAGCUAUUCAGGCUUCUGCACCCCUAAACAUGGGAAAUACAUAAUGCAGCUUUCUUAAACACAGAGAAUGAUUGGGUGUUUUGGGCAGACAGUAUCUUCUGCAUUUUUCCUGCCUGCCAUUGCAGUGGGGAGGCCCUGGAACCUCCCAGGUUCUCUUGCACUUUCUGGCACUGCUGCAGCCCUGGCCCCAUUCUUAGCGAGGGUGUUCAUACCUCACUAGCAUGGGACAAGAAAUCCUGGAAUGAUUCUUGUCUUGGUUUCGAGGCAAAUUUCAGGAGAAAAUGCUCUGGAAUGAACGUUUCCUCUAAAGAGGAAGGGCUUUAAUAACUCCCUUUUUUUCAGCCAAUGAGAGAAAUUGAUACCAGCAGGUGAAAGUGAAACCUAAGUGGUACGUAACAAAAAGUUAACCACAAGUAACAUUGUAACAAGAUGUGCAGGUAAAGCAAGCAAGAUAGCAAAGCCAGUGAGAUAACAUGAGCCAUGAAAAGCAAGAUCGCAAGUUUUAAUGGAACUUGCAAACUGCAAAAUUAGCUAAAAACAAGUUAGACUGAAAAACAAGAAGCACCAGGCAUGUGCUGAAGAUAGAGGUGAAAUUUCAAAUGUGAGGAAGACUACAGAAAUCUUCAUCAAAAGACCACCAGAAGACUGACGACCACCACAGAAGGAACUGAUGCAUGUGCGGAAGCAACAAACUGAUGAUACAGCUUUUUGCAAAUAUGAGUAUGCUAAUGAUAUGUUGUAAUUGUGACGUGGCGUAGAAAGACUUUUAAAAUGUAACUGAAGGCUAGAGAAGAUUGAGUGAGUUUUGUGGAGAUCCCCCUCACUCCCAGUGCUGAAUAAACAAAUACCUGCUCUGUAGCUGUCUGA
This is a long non-coding RNA of Corvus hawaiiensis (hawaiian crow), 3584 nucleotides long. RefSeq lists it as uncharacterized. NCBI's taxonomy places the organism in Eukaryota, Metazoa, Chordata, Aves, Passeriformes, Corvidae. The record is from RefSeq and is a predicted model, not a curated record. The transcript has 2 exons.